This 248-nucleotide ribosomal RNA is filed under the name uncultured bacterium. RNAcentral describes it as "partial 16S ribosomal RNA". It matches the Rfam family "Bacterial small subunit ribosomal RNA", at positions 523 to 769 of the family's 1533-position model. The record is from RNAcentral.
AUACGGAGGGUGCAAGCGUUAAUCGGAAUUACUGGGCGUAAAGAGUGCGUUAGGUGGUUGAGUAAGUUAUCUGUGAAAUCCCUGGGCUUAACCUGGGCAGGUCAGAUAAUACUGCUUGACUCGAGUAUGGGAGAGGGUAGUGGAAUUUCCGGUGUAGCGGUGAAAUGCGUAGAGAUCGGAAGGAACACCAGUGGCGAAGGCGGCUACCUGGCCUAAUACUGACACUGAGGCACGAAAGCGUGGGGAGC